AUGUCACACACACACCAUCAGUCUCUCAUACAUACUUUCUCACAAAUAUUUUCACCCAUCCUCACAUAUAUGCUAUCGCACAUAUAUACUCUCUUCUACUACUCUCAUAGUCUCUCACACAGUCUCACAAUUCCCUUUCAUGCAGAUGCUCUCACAUGCAUUUUCAGUCACACACAGUCUCUCAUAUAUUCUAUCACACACACAUUCUCUGUCUCACAUUCUUACCUUUUUUGCAUUCUCUUUUACACACAUUCUCUCACACAUUUAAUUUCACACACGUUUUCUAACAAACUCUCACAUUUUUGCACACACAUUCUCACAUUCUUUUCACACAUUCUUGCACACACACAACCUCACACUCGCCUUUUCACACACAUUACCACACACAGUCUCACACACAUUUUCUCACAUCCACAUUAUCUCACACACAUGCACACAAAGUAUCUCACAUUUUUUCACAUUCUUACAAACUCUUACAUAAUCCUCUCUCUCCCACAUUCAACACAUAAUUCUGUCUCACACACAUUCUCCCACAGGCACUCUCACAAUCACUCUCUCACACGCACAAUACACAUGAUCUCUCCCGCACACACCCUCAGUCUCUCAUACGCACAUUUUCUCACAUAUUUCCACUUACACAUCCUCUCAGAUACAUGCCAUUGCACACACACAUUCUCUUAUACAACUUUCAUUCUCUCCCACACUCUCACAAUUCCAUUUUACACAGUUCUCACACACAUUCACACCCUCUCACAUACCUACAUGUGUACAUACUCUUUUAUACAGUCUCUCACGCAUUUAAUUUCACACACAUUUUCUAACAGACUCUCACAUUCUCUCUCUCUCUCUCUCUCUCUCUCUCUCACACACACACACACACACACACAACACACACGAACUCUCUCUCACACACACAUUCUUUCUCUUGCAUCUUAUCCCAGAUUCUCCUCUAUCUGCAAUUUUAGGGAUACCACAGCUCUUCAGUUCAAUGUUACGUUUCCUGGCACGUACUCAAGUAAUCCAAAUCCCAGGCCGUGA
RNAcentral lists this long non-coding RNA (1038 nucleotides) under Felis catus (domestic cat). Its description in RNAcentral is "lncRNA (ENSFCAG00000050990.1)". The record is from RNAcentral. Lineage: Eukaryota; Metazoa; Chordata; Mammalia; Carnivora; Felidae.